UCCUUCAUAGCUCAGUUGGUAAAGAAUCUGCCUGCAAUGCAGGAGACCCAGGUUCCAUUCCUGGGUUGGGAA
This 72-nucleotide transfer RNA is filed under the name Ovis aries (sheep). It matches the Rfam family "tRNA". Rfam says of the family: Transfer RNA (tRNA) molecules are approximately 80 nucleotides in length. Their secondary structure includes four short double-helical elements and three loops (D, anti-codon, and T loops). Lineage: Eukaryota; Metazoa; Chordata; Mammalia; Artiodactyla; Bovidae. The record is from Rfam by way of RNAcentral.